RNAcentral lists this unclassified non-coding RNA (269 nucleotides) under plant metagenome. RNAcentral describes it as "partial contains small subunit ribosomal RNA, internal transcribed spacer 1, and 5.8S ribosomal RNA". The record is from RNAcentral.
UUUCCGUAGGUGAACCUGCGGAAGGAUCAUUUCCGAACAAAUUCUUUAUAAACCAACCAUGUGAAAUGUUUUGGGUUAUUUUUACUCUCUUACGUACCGCUGGCACAUCUUGUAUGUGUGUAUGUGCGCGUAUGUGGAGAGGCCAUGAUGAACUACCUUGUCACAAAGGUUGAUUAUUAUCGUUUUCUCUUUAAAUUUCUUCUUUGAAAGGAGAGGAAAUAACAAAACAAAUGAUAUGACAACUUUUAACGGUGGAUCUCUUGGCUCGU